CUCUUAUAAAGAGAGGUGGAGGGACUGGCCCGAUGAAACCCGGCAACCGCCCAUUUGUGGAAUGGUGCCAAAUCCUGCAGGAUGAUUAUCCUGAAAGAUGAGAG
Molecule: non-coding RNA, 104 nt
Filed under: Syntrophomonas zehnderi
Lineage: Bacteria; Bacillati; Bacillota; Clostridia; Eubacteriales; Syntrophomonadaceae
Also listed under: 1 other name
Description: SAM-I sequence
Rfam family: SAM riboswitch aptamer (S box leader)
About the family: The SAM riboswitch is found upstream of a number of genes which code for proteins involved in methionine or cysteine biosynthesis in Gram-positive bacteria. The SAM riboswitch acts at the level of transcription termination control. The predicted structure consists of a complex stem-loop region followed by a single stem loop terminator region.
Source: RNAcentral